AUACGGAAGGGGCAAGCGUUAUCCGGAAUGAUUGGGCGUAAAGCGUCUGUAGGUGGCUUUUUAAGUCCGCCGUCAAAUCCCAGGGCUCAACCCUGGACAGGCGGUGGAAACUACCAAGCUUGAGUACGUUAGGGGCAGAGGGAAUUUCCGGUGGAGCGGUGAAAUGCGUAGAGAUCGGAAAGAACACCAACGGCGAAAGCACUCUGCUGGGCCGACACUGACACUGAGAGACGAAAGCUAGGGGAGCGAAUGGAAUUAGAAACCCCAGUAGUCC
Molecule: ribosomal RNA, 274 nt
Filed under: uncultured bacterium
Lineage: Bacteria
Description: partial 16S ribosomal RNA
Rfam family: Bacterial small subunit ribosomal RNA
Source: RNAcentral